Molecule: ribosomal RNA, 322 nt
Filed under: uncultured bacterium
Lineage: Bacteria
Description: partial 16S ribosomal RNA
Rfam family: Bacterial small subunit ribosomal RNA
Source: RNAcentral
UGGGGAAUAUUGGACAAUGGGCGAAAGCCUGAUCCAGCCAUGCCGCGUGUGUGAAGAAGGUCUUCGGAUUGUAAAGCACUUUAAGUUGGGAGGAAGGGCAUUAACCUAAUACGUUAGUGUUUUGACGUUACCGACAGAAUAAGCACCGGCUAACUCUGUGCCAGCAGCCGCGGUAAUACAGAGGGUGCAAGCGUUAAUCGGAAUUACUGGGCGUAAAGCGCGCGUAGGUGGUUUGUUAAGUUGGAUGUGAGAUCCCCGGGCUCAACCUGGGAACUGCAUUCAAAACUGACUGACUAGAGUAGGGUAGAGGGUGGUGGAAUUU